This 1563-nucleotide long non-coding RNA is filed under the name Olea europaea subsp. europaea. The record is from RNAcentral. Lineage: Eukaryota; Viridiplantae; Streptophyta; Magnoliopsida; Lamiales; Oleaceae.
GGACAGAGUUCAUAAUCAGUGUGUUGGGUUCACAGGCAAGAACUACACCACGUUGGAAUUUCAGUUUGAGACUUACCUUCGCGGUAAGGAUCUAUGGCAUCAUAUUGGUGGUUCUCCUGUCUGCUACUGUUGCGAAAGAGAAAGGAUUGCAGGACACUUCGAGUGCGACUUGGGCUGUCCAAGAUGCCCAAAUUCUCUCUUGGAUUCUUGGCUCUAUGGAACCUCAGAUUCUUCUUCAUCUUCGACCUUACAAGACUGCCAAAGAAAUUUGGCAAUACUUCCGCAGUGUCUAUUACCAAGAUAACUCCGCUUGCAACUUUCAAUUGGAAUUAGAUAUUUCUCAUCUGUCUCAAGGAUUGCUGUCCAUUCAGGAUUAUUACUCCCAGUUCAUGAGUCUUUGGGCUGAUUAUUCAGAAAUUAUUUUGGUUGAUGUCUCAACUGCUGCACAUGCUGCUCUUCAGACCGCUCAUCUCAACAGAAAGUGUAGUCAAUUCUUGAUGAAACUAUGGCCUGAAUAUGAAGCUGUUCGCUCCUCUUUAUUGAACCGUUCCCCUCUUCCUUCCUCAGAGGUUUGCUUUGGAGAACUUCGCAAGGAGCAGCGCUUGGCCACUCAAACCAACCUACAAGAUGCUGGUUCUCCUCUUGUAAGCAUGGCAUAUGCUGCCCAUGGGAAGCCUCGUACUACUCGUGAUUUCAGCAUGGCACAAUGCUAUUCUUGCAAACAAUUUGGGUACAUUGCCCCCUCAAUGUCCCAAUAAAUCUUGCAAGUACUGUAAGAAACGCGGAAAUAUCAUCAAAGAAAGUCCUAUUCAACCUCCAAAACCUGUUUCACGAGCUCUGCAAGCUGUUAAUGUUCCAACUAUUGAUCCUAGCCUCUCAUCCAUUGCUGACUCGUCUGCUUCAGCUGCUCUGAUGUCUCAGGGUACACCUAUCCAUCCCUCUUUAACGCCUGAAAUGGUCCAACAAAUGAUUUUAUCUGCCUUUUCUACACUUGGACUGCAAGGUAAACACCUAUCCUCAUGUCCUUGGUUCUUGGACUCUGGUGCUUCAAAUCUCAUGACUAAUUCAACCACGAACCUUAGUAAUGUUCGUCCAUAUACUGGUUCAUCUCUAAAUCAAACGGCAAAUGGCCAACAUCUGCCUAUUAAAGCUAUUGGUGAUAUCAAUUCCUCUAUUAAGGAUGUGUUUGUUUGUCCAAAACUCUACUAAUUUGGUUUCUGUAGGCCAAUUAAUCAACCAAAAAUGUGAUGUUCACUUUAGAUUUGAUGGCUGUUACGUGCAGGAGCAGGAAAUGGGACAAUUGAUGGCAAAGGGGCUUAGAGUUGGACGUCUUUUUCCGUUACACCUUUUUCCUUCGAGUGCAACAUUGUCUUCACCUUUAUUUUCUCUUGCUUGUAAAGUGUGUGUCCGAAGAGGCACCAUUCAUAAUCAUCUUCGUCUCUCACAGAACAAAGGUUUAUAAAGCUAGCAAAAUCUUCAAUGCCGCAUUCCUUUUCAACAUUACUGCAUCUGGAAUUUCCAUGCCUGAUGAUGAUGGAGUGGAAAUGAUGUGACCAGAAAUAA